This 464-nucleotide ribosomal RNA is filed under the name Vreelandella stevensii. RNAcentral's name for it is "partial 16S ribosomal RNA". It matches the Rfam family "Bacterial small subunit ribosomal RNA", at positions 339 to 795 of the family's 1533-position model. Lineage: Bacteria; Pseudomonadati; Pseudomonadota; Gammaproteobacteria; Oceanospirillales; Halomonadaceae. The record is from RNAcentral.
CUACGGGGGGCAGCAGUGGGGAAUAUUGGACAAUGGGGGGAACCCUGAUCCAGCCAUGCCGCGUGUGUGAAGAAGGCCCUCGGGUUGUAAAGCACUUUCAGUGAGGAAGAACGCCUGGUGGUUAAUACCCAUCAGGAAAGACAUCACUCACAGAAGAAGCACCGGCUAACUCCGUGCCAGCAGCCGCGGUAAUACGGAGGGUGCGAGCGUUAAUCGGAAUUACUGGGCGUAAAGCGCGCGUAGGUGGCUUGAUAAGCCGGUUGUGAAAGCCCCGGGCUCAACCUGGGAACGGCAUCCGGAACUGUCAAGCUAGAGUGCAGGAGAGGAAGGUAGAAUUCCCGGUGUAGCGGUGAAAUGCGUAGAGAUCGGGAGGAAUACCAGUGGCGAAGGCGGCCUUCUGGACUGACACUGACACUGAGGUGCGAAAGCGUGGGUAGCAAACAGGAUUAGAUACCCUUGUAGUC